Podarcis lilfordi (Lilford's wall lizard) is the source of this 94-nucleotide non-coding RNA. The record is from the annotation of a GenBank genome assembly. NCBI's taxonomy places the organism in Eukaryota, Metazoa, Chordata, Lepidosauria, Squamata, Lacertidae.
UCAAUUAGUCGGUCAGUCAAUCAGUUGGUUGGUUGGUUGAUCAGUCAAUUAGUCGGUCGAUUAGUCGGUUGGUUGGUUGGCUGGUCAAUUAGUC